UCCAUUUUAAUUUUCCAAAUUUAAUUCCCAAAAUAAAAAAUUUGGGAAUUCCAUUCCCCCAAUUUUAACUCCAUGCCAAUUAAAAUUGGGGAACUGAAUGGAAUUCCCAAAAUGGAAUAGAAUGGAAUUCCCCAAAUGGAAUGGAAUGGAAUUCCCAAAAUGGAAUUUCAGCCUCAGCUUUGGCUGAUGGGAUCCUCUUGAUGCCACUGGCAGUUGGAUGAAAUCUUUUGGUCACAAAAAAUAUAAUAUUCUUAUUUUUUCCACCCCCAGGCAAUGGGAAUUGUAAAUAUCCAGCCCUGCUGAUGCGCCAGAACCUAAAUUAUCUCCAAGGCUAAAAUUCUGGGCAGGUCACAAAUGCAGCUCCAAUUUCACUCAGCAAAUAUUUAAUUUGUCAUCCGCUAAUUAACGGAGGAACUGGAAUGUUUCCCAAGGUGCCCAGGAAAGUUCCAGCCCCUUUCAGGAGCUUUUCAAUCCAGUGAUGACUGCCUUGGCUCAGAGUUCCAGGGAAAUAUCCCCAAAUAAAACCUGAUUCACUGCAGAUAAGAAUGAGCUCUGAUUUUCCUUUUAAAAAUGUUUUUAUUUUUAUUUUUAAAGGGAUUUUUUGGACAGAUCUCUGAAGGUUUUCUCUGCUCUGUUCCCCACUUUGGUUUCUCCCUUUGUGUUGCUCCUUCAUGAAACAAAUUUCCGCUGUUUUGCACCAUGGCAGACAAGGAGCUGGGCAUGACCUGGGACAUUUUCCUCUUCUCUGUCACAGAAAGUGUCUGACUUUAUUUAUGGGAUUUGCUAAAGACCCACCAGGCAAUAAAACCUUGAGAUUUUUGUACACCAGUUCUGAGAAUGGGAUUUUGAGGAGCACCCAAGGAUCUGUCUGCACCCUGAGCCAGUGGAAGGGACAACCAGUGAUGGGUUUGAACUGAAGAAUUGAUAGAGAUUGGACCAAACAAUGAAUUUUUUACACUGAGGGGGGCAAAAUGCUGGAAUGCAUCAGCAGAGAGGUCAUGGAUCCAUGCCGGGAACAUCCAAGGUCGGGCUGGACAGGGCUCCAGGCGAGCCCAUCUCACUGAAGGUGCCCUGUCAGGGGGGGCUGGAUUCAAUGACCUUCAGAGACAUCAUCCAACCCCAACCUUCCUGCAGUCCCACACCCAAAUCCUAAUUAAAUAUUUCCAGGAGG
Passer domesticus (house sparrow) is the source of this 1171-nucleotide long non-coding RNA. RefSeq lists it as uncharacterized. The record is from RefSeq and is a predicted model, not a curated record. NCBI's taxonomy places the organism in Eukaryota, Metazoa, Chordata, Aves, Passeriformes, Passeridae. The transcript is spliced from 3 exons.